AGCGAACGCUGGCGGCAUGCCUAACACAUGCAAGUCGAACGAGACCUUCGGGUCUAGUGGCGCACGGGUGCGUAACGCGUGGGAACCUGCCCUUAGGUUCGGAAUAACUCCCCGAAAGGGGUGCUAAUACCGGAUAAUGUCUUCGGACCAAAGAUUUAUCGCCUUUGGACGGGCCCGCGUUGGAUUAGCUAGUUGGUAGGGUAAAAGCCUACCAAGGCGACGAUCCAUAGCUGGUCUGAGAGGAUGAUCAGCCACACUGGGACUGAGACACGGCCCAGACUCCUACGGGAGGCAGCAGUGGGGAAUAUUGGACAAUGGGCGAAAGCCUGAUCCAGCAAUGCCGCGUGAGUGAUGAAGGCCUUAGGGUUGUAAAGCUCUUUUACCCGGGAUGAUAAUGACAGUACCGGGAGAAUAAGCUCCGGCUAACUCCGUG
This 433-nucleotide ribosomal RNA is filed under the name uncultured bacterium. Its description in RNAcentral is "partial 16S ribosomal RNA". It matches the Rfam family "Bacterial small subunit ribosomal RNA", at positions 29 to 507 of the family's 1533-position model. The record is from RNAcentral.